RNAcentral lists this ribosomal RNA (469 nucleotides) under uncultured Halomonas sp. RNAcentral describes it as "bacterial SSU rRNA". It matches the Rfam family "Bacterial small subunit ribosomal RNA", at positions 335 to 796 of the family's 1533-position model. Lineage: Bacteria; Pseudomonadati; Pseudomonadota; Gammaproteobacteria; Oceanospirillales; Halomonadaceae. The record is from RNAcentral.
UAGCCUACGGGUGGCAGCAGUGGGGAAUAUUGGACAAUGGGCGCAAGCCUGAUCCAGCCAUGCCGCGUGUGUGAAGAAGGCCCUCGGGUUGUAAAGCACUUUCAGUGGGGAAGAAAGCCUUCCGGUUAAUACCCGGGAGGAAGGACAUCACCCACAGAAGAAGCACCGGCUAACUCCGUGCCAGCAGCCGCGGUAAUACGGAGGGUGCGAGCGUUAAUCGGAAUUACUGGGCGUAAAGCGCGCGUAGGUGGCUUGAUAAGCCGGUUGUGAAAGCCCCGGGCUCAACCUGGGAACGGCAUCCGGAACUGUCAGGCUAGAGUGCAGGAGAGGAAGGUAGAAUUCCCGGUGUAGCGGUGAAAUGCGUAGAGAUCGGGAGGAAUACCAGUGGCGAAGGCGGCCUUCUGGACUGACACUGACACUGAGGUGCGAAAGCGUGGGUAGCAAACAGGAUUAGAUACCCUGGUAGUCA